Long non-coding RNA from Herpailurus yagouaroundi (jaguarundi), 638 nucleotides. RefSeq lists it as uncharacterized. The transcript is spliced from 4 exons. The record is from RefSeq and is a predicted model, not a curated record. Lineage: Eukaryota; Metazoa; Chordata; Mammalia; Carnivora; Felidae.
CCUUGUGAGGAAAUGCUGUCGGGAGACGCUGGCAUUGUGUCAUCAGCAUUUACGUCGUCUUAAGCUUCAGUUGCCCGAGAUCAACUGUGGUUCAGAAGCAGAUGGUCCUCCUGACGUAUCUUCUAACGGUACAUCAGAAUACCUACAUCAUUUACCUCACUCUAUUUCAUCACACAGGCAUUUUGUCAUUUCAUGUCACCACAAAAAGGGGGAAUAAAACUUUGCAGGGCAUCGUGGCUCCAAUUUGGUGGGGAUCAAGCAGCACCUCUCACCAAGAAGAAGGGAAAGAAUGAGGUGGAUCGUGGUAGCAGGAGUGCGUAGCAGAUCUGACGUCAGCUAGCCUCCCAAAGAGUCAGAUGGAGCCCUAGCUGGCAGCAACGGGGAGCAGGGAAGCUGGCUUCUUUCAAUCAGUCAUGCUGUGGAGUGCAGUGAGGACACCUCUCCCAAAGCUGCCGGAGCUGCAAGCCUGCCCCAGCAAGAUGAGAGGGAAGUCGGGAAGGCCAGGUAAGUUCAUUGAAAUAGCAAUCGGCUGGCGAAAUCCAGACUGGGAAACUUAGUCAAAUAGCCUGGGGGUUUCAACAGGUAAUUCUAAGGAGAAGAGGAAUGGAGGGGGAACUGAAGAUUAAAAGAGACGUGAA